Molecule: non-coding RNA, 26 nt
Filed under: Homo sapiens (human)
Lineage: Eukaryota; Metazoa; Chordata; Mammalia; Primates; Hominidae
Source: RNAcentral
UAAUGGACCAGUGCGAUUGAUAUAGA